AAAUUGAAGAGUUUGAUCAUGGCUCAGAUUGAACGCUGGCGGCAGGCCUAACACAUGCAAGUCGAACGGUAACAGGAAGAAGCUUGCUUCUUUGCUGACGAGUGGCGGACGGGUGAGUAAUGUCUGGGAAACUGCCUGAUGGAGGGGGAUAACUACUGGAAACGGUAGCUAAUACCGCAUAACGUCGCAAGACCAAAGAGGGGGACCUUCGGGCCUCUUGCCAUCGGAUGUGCCCAGAUGGGAUUAGCUAGUAGGUGGGGUAACGGCUCACCUAGGCGACGAUCCCUAGCUGGUCUGAGAGGAUGA
This 306-nucleotide ribosomal RNA is filed under the name Escherichia coli. Its description in RNAcentral is "partial 16S ribosomal RNA". It matches the Rfam family "Bacterial small subunit ribosomal RNA", at positions 1 to 303 of the family's 1533-position model. Lineage: Bacteria; Pseudomonadati; Pseudomonadota; Gammaproteobacteria; Enterobacterales; Enterobacteriaceae. The record is from RNAcentral.